UUUCCCUUUUUCCACUGUGUACAGCUUCACCAGUAAAAUCUCAUGGGCACAAAGUGCGAAAUGCAAGUUCAAAGUGCAUGUGCAUGUGCAGAGAAUUCCCUAAUGGAAAAAUAAUGUGUCGCUCUACACAGUUACCCAACAAUGUGGAGAAGCAGCGUUUGCUGAAAUGCAUCUGCAAGAAACCACACACAUCCGGCAAGUUACGGCGUCCUAGUAUUCCAAUCAGCCUUGCAUGAAUGAGUGGAAUUACGCAGAGACCAGGACUGACACAGCCCAUGUCACAUCGCACAAGAUGUGAUCACCGCAUCACUGCAUUUUCACAUGAUGUUAACUGUUACACCCCAUUAUGUCACUUCACGUAAGACAGCUCCAUAAGACACAGCACACCAAAUCACUUAAGGUCACCUAACAGUCACAACAUGACAUGAAAUUCUGUCACAUUAUGCAUCCCAUCAUCCUUGCAAU
Molecule: long non-coding RNA, 465 nt
Organism: Micropterus dolomieu (smallmouth bass)
Lineage: Eukaryota; Metazoa; Chordata; Actinopteri; Centrarchiformes; Centrarchidae
Exons: 3
Source: RefSeq, a predicted model, not a curated record